UAGUAAGGACUAUGGAACACUUGGGUUAUGAUAAGAAAUGAUUUAUGAAUGCUAUAAUGAGGUACCAUCAUAUUACUACACUUGUUUGCAAUAGUACAGGUGCAAACCUAGAUAAUAGGUAAUGAUAAUAACGAACUUGAGCUAAUUAAAAGAAGAAAAGUCUUUGGGCUAUGUUCAGUGGAACAAUGCUUUUAUGCAAAAGUCUCAGCUACCCCACCAUAUAGCCUUCAUGAUCCUUGAAGAGUCUUUAUUUUUGGUUAUGACGGGUAAGUCUAGCUGAAUACAUUCUCGUACUCAGGGUUCUAUUCCCAUGUUGUUUUGCAGAUGGUCAAAUGUACUAUGGUUAUUGCAUCCUUUGCCUGUACCCAGCAAUGGGCGAUGACUAGACCAAGGGCGAUGGUCACUCUACCUCCUCUUUUGCUUUUGUGGGAAUGACCGAACUGUGGCACUGUACCAGACUAAGUGUGUGUGUUAUUUUUAAACUAUGAAGCUUCCGCUAUUUGAGAACUUGGUUUGUAAUAAUUUCAAGAACUCCGAUGUAUUUUAUGAAUGUGGUGAACUGGAUUUAAUUGUGAAUGGGGACCGCUAAACUUAUUACGAUCUUGGCUGUAUGUACGAUAUGUGGUUUGAAAUCCUUUGAGAUUUCACGGACUACCGGGAUUAUAAGGACUUAAGCUCAAUGGUUUGACCGUGCAAAUGGUCACUAUUAGGCUUAAUCUCUUAUAAUUUGGGCGGUUCUGUUACAAUACCUUCCUUACACUUGAGGCUUUUGAGGGGAAUGAGAUGCUCUAUAUUUUAUUUUUAUUUUCUCUUAGGUGGGUAUCUUGUACCCCUAAUUCUACUGUCGGACAGUUGUCCAUUUUUACCUCUCGUCUCACUUUUUCUUUCUUUUUUUUGAGGUUUCGGGCACUUGCCCCUUUUUGUUUCCUCGUAUUCACUUUUUUCAGAGCACUUACCCUCCUGGAAUAAUGUAGCAAGUGGUAGUAACCAAAAUAUCUCGAGCAUUUAUUUCACGGGGAAUAACAGGGAUAAGAUAAUGUUUUUGGCGUCUCUCCUAGAUAGGAGUAGAAUAUUUUUUGGUGGUUCUGGAGAUGGUAAUGAGUGGAUAUAUGUGGAUGCGUACAUCUAGAGUAGAAGCAGCAUGUGUGAGUGAACGUGCAAGUGAAUCUUGAUUUAACCACAUGACAAGCUCCUAAGGGUCUACACACCUUGACCACACUCAAUGCUCAUAAGCAGUAAAAAGUAAAUGUAUGGUUCAUAGUCUAAUAAGCAUGUAUAUAUGGUUAUGGUAGGAUUUUAAACUCUCAUCAUACAGGAACUCAUCAUGCAACAUUUUAAAGAUUUUCAAAGAUAAAAUUCUCUAGAAUUCUAGCAUCUCUAGGAACAGAUAAACAGCAGCUCAACCUUCCCAUAUCGUAUCCGUUAACGACUUAGACUUAGAUCAAGUACUCUUCCCACAAGUUUAAGUUUAGAGCAAAUCUUAAUUGAUAACAGUCAUGCCUAAACUUGAGAGAGAUUUCAACUUUUAGAACUAGUCAUGGCAAAGCAACUAUUCAUCAUUUCCAUGUGAGAGCUUAUCAUGAGGGUUCAUAGCAAACUUUAUUUAUUUUUUAUUUAGCAAACUAAGCAAAGAUAUAUAUAUAAGCACAAAAUCUUUAUUUGGGUUUUUAUGAUUAUGCAUCUUUUUAUUAUUUGAGUAAAGUAUAAACAUGAGUAGAAUACUUAGCUGGAUAAAUGGGGUUGCUCUCCCCCAAGCUGGAUUUUGACGUAAUUUCUCCUGAUGUAGUUAGCAGGUGGCAGAGGUGUAUUUGAAUGUCAGCAGCACCUUGACAGCGAUUAGGAUGUCCUCCGGCUGCUAGUCUUCUUUGAUCCUUGAAUUAUGUGGAGCUCAAAUAGACAACAAAGCUUUGUAGAACUGGUUAAGUGUUAGCAUAAAAUCUCUUAGCCUUUAUCAUGUUGAGCCUCCUCAAUAAAUGUUACUCUCUUUAGUAGGAUCAUAAUUUUAUUUUUAUAUUUUUAUUUUUAUAGGACAGGAAUAUAUUUAUUUCCUUCUUACACCACCACAGUGAAUGUACUUAUGGGUUUUAUACCAUGAGCAUACUCACAUGGGGCUUACUAUUUUUAACAUUUUUAUUUUCUUUUCAAGAUGAUAUGAACCUGAUUAACUAAGCAAACUAUUUUAAAAUAAUUGAAAGGAAAAGGAUAACUACCAAGUUUACCUCUUGGCAAGGCGUUCGGUGUUUUUAAGUCCUCCGAACAGGUCUCUCUGUUUUCUCAGUCGUCCUUGGAUUUGCUGGAUGGCGUAGUCGGUGGUUCCGGCGCCUCCUCCUCUUCUUGUAUAACUAUCUUCUCUCUCCACACCUGACUCGGUGCUACAGUCUCCUCAAGACUAUUCUGUUCAAGUUACAUGUCUUCAGUCCUUACCACUUCUCCUUCGUAGUCUGCCCAUCCGUCCUUGAUGAUUUGCCUCCUCUAGUUGCGGUUACAUCGUCUUCUUUUUGUCCUGACCUACUUAGAGUCUUCAAUUAUAUAGUUAGGGUCAGUAAAAUAGUGGCGUACCUUCUCAUAGGGGAAGUGUAUGUCAACUUUUUCGGUUCCAAUGUAGAUGAUUGCUUUAACGGUGCUGAGGAACGGUCUCCCAAGGAUGAUGCGUGGAUCGUACUUGUCUUCUCCCAUGUCAAUAACCUUUCAGAAUGUCUGAUCUGCCAUCUGGAGCUGAAUGUAUAUCGGUUUUAGGGUCAUGGUUCCAAACAGGAGUCAUCCUUUUUUGUCAGGAACGGUGACUUAAGUCGACGAUCUUGACCUCCUUGAACUGCAGUGACCAUCUUAGCUGACUUGGUCCACAUUUGCUUGUUCUUGUUCCUCCUGUUGGUCCUCUUCCUUGGUUCAUGUCGGGAAUGCUUUGAGAUUUGUGUAGUCUUGUUCUUGAAGGAAAACAUCUCCUUCCUUCCCUUUAUGUAGAAACUGAUCUUGGCAGCACUAGCGUAGAUGACAGCUCCCGAGGUGUUCAGGAAUGGUCUCCAUAGGAUGAUGGGUGCCGUCUCAUCAGUACCAGUCUAUCACUACGAAGUCUGCUGGGGCGUACAAGGUACCAACUCGGAUGUAGAGGUUCUUCAAUAUUCCCUUUGGGAAACUUAGCGUACGAUCCUAGGCAUAAUGUUGACGCUAGAGCCAAAGUCGCAGAGUGCUUCCGGGAAGUUCACCAUGCCGAUAGAGAUCGGGAUAACGGGGCAUCCUAGAUCGCCUCUCUUGACCGGCUGAAGGUCAGUAAUUACUUCCACAACAGGGUUACUCUAGUAGUUACGUCCUCAAGCGUCCCAGGACAAUGAUUGCCUGAGUGUCUAGUAUCUCCAGUGUGUUUGUGCUCGUAGAUCUAGGUUCUUCACUUGGUGCAGUCUAGGAGUUGUAAAACUCCUUCAUAUUUUGCUCGAAGUAUACUUGCUCAUAGAGACAAGGCAGUGAUCAAGUGCAUGGGCCUUGUUGGUGAAAAACACCAACAGAACCAAAAGUGUAUUUGUUCUCUCUAACCUUAAGCAUAGUGAGCAAGACAAAGUUGAUGGAUAAUAAGAUCAUGUGUGUAACAUUUAAAACAUUUGUCAGAUCAGAUCGCUCAACCUAAUGGAAAGAUAAUCUAUCAAAGUAAAUGUUUUUUUUUACAUGACUAUCAUUUUCCAAAGAUCGGAUGUGCAACAUUUUAGCUCAUAUGGUUAAGAGUGUGGGCUCAAGAAGGUAGU
RNAcentral lists this long non-coding RNA (3734 nucleotides) under Sorghum bicolor (sorghum). Its description in RNAcentral is "long non-coding RNA (SBIC_LNC004961)". Lineage: Eukaryota; Viridiplantae; Streptophyta; Magnoliopsida; Poales; Poaceae. The record is from RNAcentral.